Molecule: ribosomal RNA, 433 nt
Filed under: uncultured bacterium
Lineage: Bacteria
Description: partial 16S ribosomal RNA
Rfam family: Bacterial small subunit ribosomal RNA
Source: RNAcentral
AACGAACGCUGGCGGCAUGCCUAACACAUGCAAGUCGAACGAGACCUUCGGGUCUAUUGUCGCACGGGUGCGUAACGCGUGGGAACCUGCCCUUAGGUUCGGAAUAACUCCCCGAAAGGGGUGCUAAUACCGGAUAAUGUCUUCUGACCAAAGAUUUAUCGCCUUUGGAUGGGCCCGCGUUGGAUUAGCUAGUUGGUAGGGUAAAAGCCUACCAAGGCGACGAUCCAUAGCUGGUCAGAGAGGAUGAUCAGCCACACUGGGACUGAGAAACGGCCCAGACUCCUACGGGAGGCAGCAGUGGGGAAUAUUGGAACAUGGGGGAAAGCAUGAUCCAGCAAUGCCGCGUGAGUGAUGAAGGCCUUAGGGUUGUAAAGCUCUUUUAACCGGGAUGAUAAUGACAGUACCGGGAGAAUAAGCUCCGGCUAACUCCGUG